This 271-nucleotide ribosomal RNA is filed under the name uncultured bacterium. RNAcentral describes it as "partial 16S ribosomal RNA". It matches the Rfam family "Bacterial small subunit ribosomal RNA", at positions 524 to 794 of the family's 1533-position model. The record is from RNAcentral.
UACGUAGGGUGCAAGCGUUAAUCGGAAUUACUGGGCGUAAAGCGUGCGCAGGCGGUUUUGUAAGACAGGCGUGAAAUCCCCGGGCUCAACCUGGGAAUGGCGCUUGUGACUGCAAAGCUGGAGUGCGGCAGAGGGGGAUGGAAUUCCGCGUGUAGCAGUGAAAUGCGUAGAUAUGCGGAGGAACACCAAUGGCGAAGGCAAUCCCCUGGGCCUGCACUGACGCUCAUGCACGAAAGCGUGGGGAGCAAACAGGAUUAGAAACCCGUGUAGU